RNAcentral lists this long non-coding RNA (459 nucleotides) under Androctonus crassicauda. The record is from RNAcentral. Lineage: Eukaryota; Metazoa; Arthropoda; Arachnida; Scorpiones; Buthidae.
CAAUUACUGACAGUUUUUAUUGGAGUCCUGUGUUUGGAUACAAAAAUUCCAUUUCUGGAAUUUUUGUGCCCAAUCUUAUGUAGCUUUUUAGAGACGACUGCUUUUUUUUUUUUUUUUAGACGUCACUAUAUUCGAACUAUCUAGAUUAGGGGUGCACAGACUUGUAAGGACCAAGGGCCACAUAGAUUCACUGUGAUUUAUAGACUUACACCAAAAAUACUACGAAAAUUAUAUAUAAUAUGUUUAUUACUUACUUGUUACUGUGGAUCCGGCGGACGAUUAAGACAGGUGUUAGCCUACCGCGGUUAUGUGGUUUGACGCGUAAGAACGGCAAAAUGAGAUGUUCUCGGCACAGACUGAGACAGACAACUACAGUUUGUGUAAACUUAGGAUCUUUAUUGAGAGAGAGAGAUGUAGAAAAUAUUACAAAAUUUCCAUGUUGAAUGGAGGACAAAUACC